CUUCCAAUGAGGGAUCCCUAUUUUUUGCCAACUUGAGGGAUAGGCUCGCAGCCCUUGGAUCUGUUUUAAUGAGGCUCGACGGCUGAGAUCAAGUUGAGAGAUUUAAACCCUUUCUAACCUAUAUCACCCCGAGUUCCAGAACUACCCAAUUCGUUCUGCCCCUCUCUCGCGCAUCAACGCUCAGAGAAUUCUCCGAUUUCCAACUCCUCCAAUCUCAAUCAAAAUUCGGAGCUCAUCUCUAUCAAAACCCACCAAAGAUUCAAACUUUCUCCACCAAAGGGUCCACGAAUCAAAACCCAGAAGCGUUGAUUCGUGAAUGGCGAGCCUGUAUGUGAAAGCUGUGCCUCCUGCGGAUCUGAAUAGGAACUCAUAGUGGUUCAUGUACCCUGGCGUUUGGACCACCUAUUUUCUCAUCCUCUUCUUCUCUUGGCUCCUUGUGCUCUCGAUUUUUGGCUGCUCUCCUGGCCUGGCUUGGACCAUAGUCAAUCUCUCUCAUUUCGUGGUCGUCGUCUCGGGUGACGCAAUUGAAAAGGAAGCGACCGGUGAAGCUUUGCAUUCAGAUUGUAUCGACGGGAUUUGGGGCUGCUCCGGGGACGCCGUCUACGGCGGCGUGGAGAGAGCUGGUGGAGGAAGAUUGAGAAGGGUACUUCUCCGUAUAUUGUAAGAAAGGGAGGAGAGAGGCUUUGGAGGAUCAGUACUCAGCCACUCUUAAUCUUCAAGGUGAUCCCAAACAGGCGUUUUUUGGUGCAUUUGAUGGGCAUGGAGGUGCAAAAGCUGCUGAAUUUGCAGCCCACAACUUAGAAAGAAACAUUUUAGAUGAAGUUGUGAGGAGGAAUGACGAAACAAAACAUAGAGAUUUGCACUCAUG
Molecule: long non-coding RNA, 868 nt
Organism: Rosa rugosa (rugosa rose)
Lineage: Eukaryota; Viridiplantae; Streptophyta; Magnoliopsida; Rosales; Rosaceae
Exons: 3
Source: RefSeq, a predicted model, not a curated record